Molecule: long non-coding RNA, 431 nt
Organism: Thunnus maccoyii (southern bluefin tuna)
Lineage: Eukaryota; Metazoa; Chordata; Actinopteri; Scombriformes; Scombridae
Exons: 4
Source: RefSeq, a predicted model, not a curated record
CAGCACCGCCACCUCUAACGGAGGCAGAGGAGCUGGCCCUAAGCCAGAAUUUAGGAAGGCCAGUGGCUGAGGGAAUCCCUGAGCUCAUCCUCUGAGCCCACCCCCCAAGACACAAGUGCCUUUAUAAAAUAUUCUGAUGGUGCUAUCUGCCUGGUGGAGCCCCCUCAUGCAAUAACAGAUCUUGUAACUGAUGAAGAGGACGAGGGAACUGUGUCUGCUGCCUUUACAGACGGGGAUCCAGAAAGGCCUAUAGAGAGCAUGGCUGGGCAGCAGCAGGAGGGUCCCUCAACUUCCACUGCACAGAUUGACACAGUUGAAAAAACACACUGCUGAAAAAAAAAUAAAGAAAACCGAUAAAGAAAUGUUAUACUUGGACCGCCAGAUUAGGAAGGCAGAUUUGGAAAUUGAAAUACUGGAGCACAAGUUAGAGG